Molecule: long non-coding RNA, 3019 nt
Filed under: Panax ginseng (ginseng)
Lineage: Eukaryota; Viridiplantae; Streptophyta; Magnoliopsida; Apiales; Araliaceae
Description: long non-coding RNA (PGIN_LNC018855)
Source: RNAcentral
AUUUUUAAUAUAUUUUCUUUCAGUUUCUCUCGAUUGCAAACACAAAAUUUUCACAUUAACAUCCGAUUGCGAACAUAAAAUGGGGUUACUUGAGAGUUCAUGGAAUAUAGAAAUCAUUUGAAACAGAUUACGAACUAGGGUUCCAGAGAAUUCAUGGAAAAUCACAACAGAUUAAGAUUUGUGAGACUACUUACCGAUUAAUAGCAAAUAGAUGCUUUAGUCGAAUAAUUUUGGAUGAACAACACCCAAAUUUCCACAACUUGAAGCCAAUUUAUAGAGAAAUCGACUAGGGUUCUUGAGAUCGCAUAAAUCACAUCAUUCCCCUAUUGCAGAGUUUUGUGACCUUUUCCCCCAAUUCAGUUAUGUCAUCCGCUAGUACUUCUAGCGGAGUAGGGGCAUAAAAGUCUAGAUUUUAUUAUAACGUCGUCCGCUAGUAGUUUUAGAGGACGUAGUUUUUCCAAUUUCAAUCUGGGCCCUUCAUUUUAGGAAUGGAAGGUGUAUAUAGAAUCGAUCAAGGGAAUACCUCUUAUUUGACAUACUCUCCUUAUUUGACAAACCUAUAUAAAGCCUCCUUAUUUUUCAUUUCUCUCUCUUCACAUGUUCAGCCAAAACAAACCCGUCGUUCCUUGCCCUAUUUCUCUCCAAAAUAAAACUGGCGAUAGCUAGAAAAAUUGCACCAAGCAACACGGAGAGGUUGAAUUAGAGGAAUCAAAGGGAAAAUGCCUAGAUCUCGACUUCGAUUACAGCUGUAAGAUUUCUAGGUUUCAGCUAUUUGAGUUUUUUCAAUGGGUUUAUUUUUUAAGAGGAAUCUAGUUUUUAUUUUGGGGACUUAACCUUUAGUUCGAAUGAAUUCUCUUUUUUUCGGCGCCGAUAAACUGUAUAAUCAUAUCAUAUUCUAAAGUGUGGGCGUUCAAGGUUUGAAACCGUUUGGGUGAAUUCUGAGACUUUUGGUUUAUGUUUAAUUAAUAAUUAUUAAUUUUAUGGACUUUUGGUUUCGAUUAGAUAGCUUUUUGAUUUUUAUGUCUAUAUGAAGUUAAUCUGUUUAGCUUUAGCUUUAGAUGUGAACUCUCUGUUGGGACGGAAGGUUUAAUUAUUGAAAUCAUAUAUGUAAAUUACAGUUUAGAAUCGAUUACUUUUGUCUCAAAAAAAAUUAGCAACUCUUUGAAAGUCUAGUGAAUAUUAAUAUAAAUAGAUUAUGUUCUAUUAUCUUAAAGAUAAUAUUAAAAAAUAUUCUAUAAAAUUAAAAAAACAACUUUAAAAACUAAUAUUUUUUAUUUUCCUGACCAAAUAUGACUAAUUUUAGUGAAAGUAGGGAGUAUUUGUCAAAUCAAACAAGACUAUUGGCUAAAAAAAUUGCUUUAACUCCUAUUGUUUAUAAGAAAGAACAAAAGAGGAGGAAAAAAGAACAAUAUAAGAAGUAAAAAAAGGAUGCACUUUCUAGCAGCCAACAUAGAAGAUUAUUAAAAUUAAGCGUGUUUUGGGUACUUGGCCUGGCUGUAUGAGGGAGUAGCAACCAGUUUGACCGGAUCUUAGGAUAUUCAUCUAACAUUUUACUCCAUUCUCAUCCAUAUGCUAAACAGAUGCAAACAUUUAGAUUUGGAGAGAAUUUGCUAGUUCUGAGAUUAGAAGAAAUCACUUGUUCGUGCAAUCAAUUUUCGGUAAGUCUUCAUCAAUGACUUUCAUGCCUGCUACAAAUAUAUUUUUAUCUAGUUCUUCUGAAUCUCUUGCUAGUUUAGAUUAUAAAAAUGAAUUAGAGUAUGUUAAUGAUGUUGAAAAUAGUAGUAAAGAGAACAGUUCCUUAUGUUGGUCAAUUGUUUUCUAAAUUGGAAUAAGCUAAUUUUUUUUAUAGAUCCUAUGUCCAAAAAAAUGGAUUUGAGAUUAGGAUUGCUACAAGUCAUAAAUAUGCUCACAGUAAUGAUUUGACGUCAAGGUUAUAAUAUGUAUGUAAAAAAGGUCGUAGACCAACUGUUGUAAAGACUUCAUUAGAUGAUGAAUGUGAUAACAAUAAGAAAACAAGACAACGAGACUCAAUUGGCCGAACAUUAUGCAAGGCUAAAAUGUAUGUUGUCCACGAUAAGAAAGAAGAUAAUUGGCGUAUUUUAGUUAUUGAGUUGGAUCACAAUCAUCAUUUAGUGACAUCUACCAAGUAGAUUUGAUUGAGACACAUAGAAAUAUUACGCCGGUAGAAAAAAAAAUUAAUUAACACAUUAAAUAAGGCGGAUAUUGGACCAAGUAGGAUGAUGAAAGUUUUGAGCACAAUGGGUAGAGGGAUGGAAAAUGUAGGUUUUAGUGACAAGGAUGUUCGUAAUGUAGUUAGGGAUUUAAGGCGUGACUCGAAGGAUGAAAAUGAUGCACAAGCUGUAGUCACUUAUCUGAAAAAAUUUAGUUUUAACAGUGCGAGUAAAUUCUUCUUGUCAAAUCAGGCGAAGACAAUCACAUAGCUUGUAUUUUAUGGGUAGACUCCAGAUCAAUAUUUAUGUAUCAAUAUUUCAGACACGUGGUUAGAUUUGACACUACGUAUAAGACAAAUAGGUAUAAUAUUCCAUUUGUUCAAUUUACCGGGGUCAACCACCAUUAUCACUCUAUUUUAUUUGGAUUUGCACUUUUAAGAGAUGAGACAAAAGACACUUUCAUUUGGGUAUUAGAUAUGUGGCUUGAAGCCAUGGACUACAAGGCUCCUGUAACCAUUAUAACUCACAAAGAUAAAGUCAUGAGCAAUGUUAUUGGUAGGGUACUCCCAUCCACUCAUCAUUUAUUGUGUUCUUGGCAUAUUAACAAUAAAUUUUCAAAACAAUUGCAUUAUGUUUAUGCAGAACACCCAUUUAAAGACGAUUUUAACAAUUGUGUCUAGAAUUCAUUGUCCAUUGGUGAGUUUGAAGAGAGUUGGGAAAUCCUUAUGAGAGAAUAUGAUUUGUCUCAAAAUGACUAAUAAUUUUGUAUGAUGUGAAGGAGAUAUGGAUAAACGCAUAUAAAAAGAGAUAUUUUGUUGCGGGAAUGACAACCACCGAAAGAAGCAAAG